RNAcentral lists this non-coding RNA (567 nucleotides) under Pan troglodytes (chimpanzee). Lineage: Eukaryota; Metazoa; Chordata; Mammalia; Primates; Hominidae. The record is from RNAcentral.
AGAUUUCUGUCUGCCUCUCAUUGGCAAACAUGACAUUUCAGCAAUUUCUCUAAAGAGGAAUGACUGGGGGAUUUUUUGUUCAUUCUGAAAAUCACAUCACCAGAUCCAACACCUUUUAAUCCCAAUCACCAGUACAAGCCACCUGUAUCAGUGUACACUGUGGCUGACCGAUCCACAGUGAUGCUUUGAGCACAAGGAAGGACUUUCUGGAAUCUACUUAUCUGAUCAAGAAAGCUUCUUUCCAAAAGAAAUGCAAUUGUCUUGAGACUUCUUCCCUAGGGAUCUGAUCAACUAACCAGAAAAGAGCAACCACCAGAGAAGAGACUGUGGGUGUCAUUGUGACUGGCUGCUACCUCCCCAUGAGUCUUCUAAAAUAAAACCUGCAAAUUCACAUCUUCCCCAUGCUUCCAGAGAAUGCAUAUUCUUCCUUUGAAAAAAGAAAACCAGAUUGAAGCCACAAAAUCCACAGCACACAAAGACCCUGCUACCAUGUAUUCACUUCAGUGAAAGGGAAGCACCGAAAUGCUGAGUGGGGGCAGGUACAGAUACUUCAAUCACUGCUGAUGG